This 450-nucleotide ribosomal RNA is filed under the name uncultured bacterium. RNAcentral describes it as "bacterial SSU rRNA". It matches the Rfam family "Bacterial small subunit ribosomal RNA", at positions 455 to 903 of the family's 1533-position model. The record is from RNAcentral.
CUAAUAUCCUUUGCUAAUGACGGUACCUGAAGAAUAAGCACCGGCUAACUACGUGCCAGCAGCCGCGGUAAUACGUAGGGUGCAAGCGUUAAUCGGAAUUACUGGGCGUAAAGCGUGCGCAGGCGGUUGUGCAAGACCGAUGUGAAAUCCCCGGGCUUAACCUGGGAAUGGCAUUGGUGACUGCACGGCUAGAGUGUGUCAGAGGGGGGUAGAAUUCCACGUGUAGCAGUGAAAUGCGUAGAGAUGUGGAGGAACACCGAUGGCGAAGGCAGCCCCCUGGGUCAAGAUUGACGCUCAUGCACGAAAGCGUGGGGAGCAAACAGGAUUAGAUACCCUGGUAGUCCACGCCCUAAACGAUGUCUACUAGUUGUCGGGUUUUAAUUAACUUGGUAACGCAGCUAACGCGUGAAGUAGACCGCCUGGGGAGUACGGUCGCAAGAUUAAAACUCA